CACGUAGGGGGCGAGCGUUGUCCGGAUUUAUUGGGCGUAAAGAGCUCGUAGGCGGUUCGGUAAGUCGGGUGUGAAACCUCCAGGCUCAACCUGGAGACGCCACCCGAUACUGCUGUGACUAGAGUCCGGUAGGGGAGCGUGGAAUUCCUGGUGUAGCGGUGAAAUGCGCAGAUAUCAGGAGGAACACCAGCGGCGAAGGCGGCGCUCUGGGCCGGAACUGACGCUGAGGAGCGAAAGCGUGGGGAGCAAACAGG
Molecule: ribosomal RNA, 254 nt
Filed under: uncultured bacterium
Lineage: Bacteria
Description: partial 16S ribosomal RNA
Rfam family: Bacterial small subunit ribosomal RNA
Source: RNAcentral